RNAcentral lists this long non-coding RNA (595 nucleotides) under Gallus gallus (chicken). Its description in RNAcentral is "long non-coding RNA NONGGAT001311". Lineage: Eukaryota; Metazoa; Chordata; Aves; Galliformes; Phasianidae. The record is from RNAcentral.
CGGGCGAGGGCUGCGCGGCCGCGGCGGGGCGAGCGGCGGAGAAAUGUUUUCACAUGCAAGUUACGUACCUAUUGGCUGCAUGCUUCUGACCAGAUUGUCACUGCAAGGCUGAUGGCUCCUGACAAAAUGGAUGCGGAGUGGGAGACACCAACUGGAAACUUCUGCUUGACAGCUUUAGCUUGCUUGAUGCCUGUCUCUUGCUGUUCAGUGACUGGGCCCCUCAUGUGUGCAGUCAGUGCUGGAGCUUCUUUCCUGCAUCAGAACUCCCAGGCCAGCACUGCUAUGCCAUAUUAAAUCACAUCUUCUUGCAUGAAAAAGGAUGUAAAAUGGAAUACAAAUCCAAAAUGGAGAUUCUUAUCAGAGUAAAAAGAGAGGAACAAAAUAAAACCACAGUACUAAAGCAGAGAUUCCCAAACUUAUUGUACUGGAGUUUCGUCACUGGUACGGAUGGGGAGGGACUGUUGGUGCCAGUGGUGUUAAUUUUUCUAUCUUAUCUUCCUCAACCUGUGACACAUUCCUGAGGGCAGAACUCAGCUCUGUCCUUUCUGCCUCACUUAAUAGUUUAUCAGCCCUACUUCAUUCCAUCCUGUUCUUG